AUUGAACGCUGGCGGCAUGCCUUACACAUGCAAGUCGAACGGUAACAGGUCUUCGGAUGCUGACGAGUGGCGAACGGGUGAGUAAUACAUCGGAACGUGCCUAGUAGUGGGGGAUAACUACUCGAAAGAGUGGCUAAUACCGCAUGAGAUCUACGAAUGAAAGCAGGGGAUCGCAAGACCUUGUGCUACUAGAGCGGCCGAUGGCAGAUUAGGUCGUUGGUGGGAUAAAAGCUUACCAAGCCGACGAUCUGUAGCUGGUCUGAGCGGACGAUCAGCCACACUGGGACUGAGACACGGCCCAGACUCCUACGGGAGGCAGCAGUGGGGAAUUUUGGACAAUGGGCGCAAGCCUGAUCCAGCAAUGCCGCGUGCAGGAUGAAGGCCUUCGGGUUGUAAACUGCUUUUGUACGGAACGAAAAGCCCUGGGUUAAUACCCUGGGGUCAUGACGGUACCGUAAGAAUAAGCACCGGCUAACUACGUGCCAGCAGCCGCCGUAA
This 498-nucleotide ribosomal RNA is filed under the name uncultured bacterium. RNAcentral describes it as "partial 16S ribosomal RNA". It matches the Rfam family "Bacterial small subunit ribosomal RNA", at positions 30 to 523 of the family's 1533-position model. The record is from RNAcentral.